RNAcentral lists this long non-coding RNA (2019 nucleotides) under Homo sapiens (human). RNAcentral describes it as "TMEM161B divergent transcript". The record is from RNAcentral. Lineage: Eukaryota; Metazoa; Chordata; Mammalia; Primates; Hominidae.
GUCGACCCCACGCCACGCAGAGGUGAAGAUACGCAGGACGUCCUCUAAAGCAACUUCCGUGGGUGCCAGGUUGUGGGCUGGGGGCGGUGCUGACCUUGAGAGAGCGGAGGAGGCGCAGGCGCAGCACAGGUGGCAAUUGAAGCCGGAAGAACAUCUACCAAGAGCAGAGAACCCAGGAAGAAAAUUCUGCCUCUUUAAUACGUUCCAAUAUGGACGUUUUCCAUAUAGAUACCUAUCUAUAUAGAUAGAUGCUCUGGGAUCUGACGGUCCUGGACACCUGUAUGGCUGUGUGCUGUGGUCUUUGCCUAGCCUGCGGUUCACUUUUGCUCUGGCCACCACCUCCCCUCAUGUACAAACCGCGUCUCUGCUCUGCCAGUCUUGGCCCCCGUCAGGCAGCGGUUCACUCCCUCACCAGGGAAGUCUAGAUAGAUAGAUAUAGAUAGAUAUCGAUCGAUAGAUAUAGAUAUAUAUAUAGAUAGAUAGAUAGGUAGAUAUAUGGAUAGAUAUAGAUAUUUGGAUAGAUAUGUAGACGUCUAUCUAUAAAUAUAUCGAUAUAUCGGGGUUCUCAGCCAUCCCAAAGAAGCUUGCACAGGGCCAGUUGCUUUAUGUCAGGAAAAGGGACACAGACUGAGUGUAUGAGGGUUUUUUUUUUCUAUAGAUGUAUAGAUAUUUAUAUCAGAUGCAAAUAAGUGAAACUCUCAUACAACUUUUAAUUUUGUGUUUUUUCCAAACUCUAUUCCAUUCAACUUUUUCUGCCUUUUUAUUUGAUUAUAAUGAGACAUCGUACUGGAGGCAGGCUUGAAAUGGAUAUACAGAGCACUUUCAACCCAGAAAUUUGUCUCACGACUUGGGGUCCUUACUUAAGUUGUAGCUGUUAGUAAUUUCAUCCAUGAAUUCACUUUGUGCCAUAGUGUGAUGUUUUGUUAUGAAGUUGGAAUUGGGAAGGGAAACUAGGAAGUUUUGGGAGAAGUUAAGAAGGUUGAGUAGGCAGGCGUUGUUAUAGAUAUUAAAUUUCACCCUGCUUAUCAAAGUACCUGGAGCGUAUGGUAUCCAAGCUGUAAAUGGCCCAAAGGAAUCGGGGUUCUCAGCCAUCCAAAAGAAGCAUGCACAGGGCCAGUUAUUUUAUGUCAGGAAAGGGGACACAGACUGAGUGUAUGAGGGUUUUUUUUUUUGUUUUUUUUUUUUAGUUUAAACUUGAUUUUGUGAGGGGACGAACAGCGUGACAAUUAAAAGAAGAUCUGGGAAUCAUCCAAUGUGAUAAUUUAUGUGAAAUCUUUCUGCAAACUAUACAGUAUGAUAAAAAUAUAAGGUAGUUUCACUGGAAACAACAGAAGACUAGAAGCUGAUGUGACGUGGCAAUAUCAACCAGGAAUACCCAUCUCGAGUUCUGGAUAUGUGCUCUGAGAAGGUGCCCAUGUCACCGACCACACUGGAGGCCAAUGCAGAUACUGGGGGAAGGUUCCAUGGUAGCUAAGUGUGGACAAGCUAAUCACUGAAGUUCCCUGAUGCAGAGUUGAUAAUCUCUCUAGAGUUGGAUGAAAGACUGUGCUGCCUUGAAGCUCUGAGAGAUGCCAUGCCAAUUCAAGGCAGGGUCUUUAUUGUUGAAACUCUUGCGUAAUGACAUCUUUAUUCAGGUGAAAAUACAGGAUGAAUUUCAACUAUAUGAUAUUGUUUAUGUUCCUCAGACAUGUUAUUUGUCUUUACAAAGAUUGGUUUCAAUAAACUGUGUGACUGAUAUUAAAUAAACAUGGAAUUUUACACAUUCAUAAUAUUUGGUUUCUUGUGAUUUUGAUGAACUAUACUUUCAAGCAUUGUCAGUUCAUCCUCAUUUACAAGGAAACAUUUGCUGUAGCAGAGUGAUGUAGUGACUUGCUUUACUUAAGAUAAGUCAACUUUUCUAUUCAAUGUUUAAUGUGAAACUGACUUAAAAAUUUUCUUUUAGGCCACAUUUACAUUUCUGUUUGUAUAACAUGCAUUAUACUAUUUUAACUUAAUACUAUGGCUAUAUAAACCAAAGAC